Molecule: transfer RNA, 70 nt
Filed under: Cavia porcellus (domestic guinea pig)
Lineage: Eukaryota; Metazoa; Chordata; Mammalia; Rodentia; Caviidae
Rfam family: tRNA
About the family: Transfer RNA (tRNA) molecules are approximately 80 nucleotides in length.
Source: Rfam by way of RNAcentral
UGUGGAGCUCAGUGGCAGAGCAUUUUGCUCAGCAUGCAGAAGGCCCUGGGUUUGAUUCCCAGAACUACAA